GUUGUAAGAUGAGUGGUGUCGGUAAUGCGCAUGUGCGACAGCCCUCAUUUGCUUGGUCUUUCACGCGCUGGUUUUGGUGGUAAGAGAUCAGCUGUAUUGGAGACAUUUCCUUAAUUAAAUCCCGCGUUCACCUUCGUCACGUCGCCAUUGCCGCCUGUGCUAAUCUGAAACGCAUGCCAGCGGUUGAAGAAUUCCGAAAUGGAUGGCCAGCAUUUUUCGAAGAAGAUGAAGUGAAUGCUGAGUUUACAAGAAUAACGAUGGUACCUCUACAAUCACUGUUCAUAUCCCAGUUGGACAAGUUUACGGGAAAACUGCUACCCAUCUUCGGUGGUAAAGGCAGGUCUAGAAGAUCAGACCAGAAGAUCAGACAAAUAAUCACACAAAUUACAAUGAGUGCUGCAGAGCCUUAGUGUGUACCUUGGUGAAGACUGCAAUACCCUCAUCAAGGACCAGCUGGAUGUCAAACGUGAAGAGACAGAACUGGCAAUUCCCCAAACAACCAUGGGGAUUUAUGUGGUAAAAAAUUAAAAUGCAGAAGCUUUGGAACAGCCUGCCAUGUUGGGAUUGUUAUUGGGGGAGUUAAGGUACUCAGAGACAUGCGAUAUAUCACCUAUCGAUUUGUUAUGUUAUGUAGGAUAAUCUAUGCACUCAACUCGAAUUAUCCCUAAGAGCUCAAAUGCACAUUUGAAGUAUUUCAGAAGAUACUCAUGAACCUAUGGGAGACAAAAUUUCUCCAAAAACUGAAAAUCAAGCUCUUUCAAUAAAGAUAUCACAGAGACAGUGAUCACGACAAAAUAUGUAUUAUAUGAAAUGUACUCCUCUAUACCUUUGUUAAAAACGACUGUUGCUUUAAAUGUUAACUGACAGUCAGUGUAUCAAACUGUUCUUUAGAUAAAAACUCGGUAGCACACUCAGAAAUGCACUCACAUGCACCCUCAGACACGCACCUGCAUGCACCCUCAGACACGCACCUGCAUGCACCCUCAGACACGUACCUGCAUGCACCCUCAGACACGUACCUGCAUGCACCCUCAGACACGUACCUGCAUGCACCCUCAGACACACACCUGCAUGCACACUCUGACACACAACACACUCAGAUACGCAGACACAUUCACAUGCACACUGAUGCAUGGAAACGUACUUGCAUGCACACUCUCAUGCACAGAAACGCUCGCACGCACAAAAUGACAAAUGUGAACACAAACGUACUUGCAUGCACACUUUGACGCACAGGCCAUUCAUUCGGGGCAUUAAGAAAGAUCCAGUGUAUCAAAUGUUUGAUUGUGAACUACUGUUAAAGUAUUGUGCAGAUGUAAAAGGGACACAAUGUUUCAGAUGUCCCUGUGAGUGCUUCCUAAUGUACUUCACACACACACAUACAAACACAUUUGCAUACACACUGAUAGACACAUAAGCACAUUCGUCUUUGCAAAACAAUAAAAUGUGUGAUUAUUAAAUACUGUUAAAAUAUUUUGCAGACGUUGAAGAGAAAUAAUAUUUGAGACGUAUGUCUUCUCAUCCAGUGUUUGUUUAAUGUCUUUAUAUUGACUUUGCAUUUGCAUUGUUUUAGGGUACUUAAAAAAUAAUAAUUAAGUUAAAACUAA
Long non-coding RNA from Brienomyrus brachyistius, 1607 nucleotides. RefSeq lists it as uncharacterized. Lineage: Eukaryota; Metazoa; Chordata; Actinopteri; Osteoglossiformes; Mormyridae. The transcript has 5 exons. The record is from RefSeq and is a predicted model, not a curated record.